This 325-nucleotide ribosomal RNA is filed under the name Variovorax sp. JC1. RNAcentral's name for it is "bacterial SSU rRNA". It matches the Rfam family "Bacterial small subunit ribosomal RNA", at positions 1066 to 1393 of the family's 1533-position model. The record is from RNAcentral. Lineage: Bacteria; Pseudomonadati; Pseudomonadota; Betaproteobacteria; Burkholderiales; Comamonadaceae.
CGUGAGAUGUUGGGUUAAGUCCCGCAACGAGCGCAACCCUUGUCAUUAGUUGCUACAUUCAGUUGGGCACUCUAAUGAGACUGCCGGUGACAAACCGGAGGAAGGUGGGGAUGACGUCAAGUCCUCAUGGCCCUUAUAGGUGGGGCUACACACGUCAUACAAUGGCUGGUACAAAGGGUUGCCAACCCGCGAGGGGGAGCUAAUCCCAUAAAACCAGUCGUAGUCCGGAUCGCAGUCUGCAACUCGACUGCGUGAAGUCGGAAUCGCUAGUAAUCGUGGAUCAGAAUGUCACGGUGAAUACGUUCCCGGGUCUUGUACACACCGA